AAAGUCCUCCUGGACGCCCCCAGCACUGGUGGACAGCUGGAAGUGGCAUGUUUCACCUUUGUAACCGUCCCUGAAGGCAAACAAACAGCCGUGUGCCUCUCAUACAGUUUCAGGCAGCAUCUCCCAUGUUUCUGGAGGUCCAGAGGAGUGAGUUGGGCUCCCCCAGGCUGUGACGGUCCGCUCAUCAUGCUGCUGGCCGGCCGUGUUGCUUCAAUGACGGCUCCCACGGUGGGGUGGGGUACCGGGCUGCUGCUGCUGCUGCAGAUGAUCCGCUGCUCCGCCAGCGUCAGGCCCAGAUCAGGUGAACCCCUCCUGCCGGCACCGCUGCCCCCUGAGCCGACCGCAGCAUUGGUGGUGGGAUGAACUCUCAGCUGGGAUACAGAUGGGAUCGUCGGCCUAUAAUGUUCUGUUGAGCUCAGCUUCUCCAGAGGGGAACUGGAAGCUGAAACAAACUGACGGAGGAAAAAAGAUCUUCAGCACAUUAAUGAUUUAACAAAGGUCAACCGUCUUCAGCCUGCUGUCUUCAGGCAGAGCGACCUGAAUUCAACCAUUUUCUGAACUCGUUUUAUCCUUUGUGUCAAACUAAAGGCCCGGGGGCCAAAUGUGGCCCUCCAUGUCGUUUUAUGUGGCCCGUGAGAACAUACAAGUUUUUAAUUUCUUAGAAUAAAAAUGGGUGGAUAUUUAUUCAUAUUUAGGGGGAAUCAGACUUAAAAUAUGGGAUUGGGUAACUAUACAUUAGGACUUAAACACUGUCCAUAAAAUCUAACCUGACAGAAUCAAAUGUAAAAGGAUUUAUGCUAAAGUAACAAGCUGACAUAUGUUUCUAUGCAACUGGAAUUGUCACUUUAAAAAGUUAUAAUGAAUAAAAAAAUAGUUAUUUAACAUUAAGAAGUACAUUUAUUUUCAUUACAUUUAGUUACAUGUAUAAUUUCUAUCUGGCCCUUUGAGGACAGACACUAUGCUGAUGUGGCCCUCAGUGAAAAUGAGUUUGACCCCCCUGCUUAAUGGGGUCACUGGCUGCCAGGGCCUAACCUGGCCUCUGCGGGGCGAAGGCUUACCUGUUUGAUUUUCUAUGUACAUUAUUUCUGUUAUGCUGCGUUUAGGAAACACUGUUCUAUUCUAUUGUCCAUAAAUUAACCCAACAAGCAUCUCUGACCUCCAAACCAAACAGAACAUCCCAUCCAGUGAUGAAACACAAAUCACAUUUGCCACUGGAGAGCAUCAAAUACACUAUAUCACCAAAAGUAUUGGCUCCCCCACCCAGAUGAUCAGAAUCAGGUGUCCUGAUCAC
Molecule: long non-coding RNA, 1291 nt
Filed under: Oryzias sinensis (Chinese medaka)
Lineage: Eukaryota; Metazoa; Chordata; Actinopteri; Beloniformes; Adrianichthyidae
Description: lncRNA (ENSOSIG00000016860.1)
Source: RNAcentral